RNAcentral lists this ribosomal RNA (467 nucleotides) under uncultured bacterium. RNAcentral's name for it is "partial 16S ribosomal RNA". It matches the Rfam family "Bacterial small subunit ribosomal RNA", at positions 28 to 507 of the family's 1533-position model. The record is from RNAcentral.
GACGAACGCUGGCGGCGUGCUUAACACAUGCAAGUCGAACGGAAAGGCUCCAGCUUGCUGGAGUACUCGAGUGGCGAACGGGUGAGUAACACGUGGGUAAUCUGCCCUGCACUCUGGGAUAAGCCUGGGAAACUGGGUCUAAUACUGGAUAUGACCUUUCUCCUUAUGGGGUUUGGUGGAAAGUUUUUCGGUGUAGGAUGAGCCCGCGGCCUAUCAGCUUGUUGGUGGGGUGAUGGCCUACCAAGGCGACGACGGGUAGCCGGUCUGAGAGGGUGAUCGGCCACAUUGGGACUGAGAUACGGCCCAGACUCCUACGGGAGGCAGCAGUGGGGAAUAUUGCACAAUGGGCGGAAGCCUGAUGCAGCGACGCCGCGUGAGGGAUGACGGCCUUCGGGUUGUAAACCUCUUUCAGCAGGGACGAAGCGUAAGUGACGGUACCUGCAGAAGAAGCACCGGCUAACUAUGUG